UUUGUCUUUUAAUUGAAGACUUGUAUAAACGAGUUGACGAGGAGAAAGCUGUCUCCUUUGGAAACCCUAAAUUUACCUUUAAGGUUAAAAGGCCUUAACAACCCAAAGGGACGACAAGACCCUAAAAACUUUAUCUCUUUUAAAAAACCAAGAACCAAAACACAAGGGAUUCCACUGGGGCGGUAAAUUAUAACAAAAUUUAUUUUUACACCUUGGGUGAAAUAAAAAUACAUGAAUUCAUAUAAGAACUAGUUACUUUAGGGAUAACAGCGCAAUUUCUCCAGAGAGUUCUUAUCGGCGGAGAAGAUUACGACCUCGAUGUUGAAUUGAAAAUCCUUUUGUAGAGCAGAAGCACGAAAAGGAGGUCUGUUCGACCUUUAAAAUUUCACAUGA
Molecule: ribosomal RNA, 393 nt
Filed under: Ligidium germanicum
Lineage: Eukaryota; Metazoa; Arthropoda; Malacostraca; Isopoda; Ligiidae
Description: partial 16S ribosomal RNA
Rfam family: Bacterial large subunit ribosomal RNA
Source: RNAcentral